GACGAACGCUGGCGGCGUGCUUAACACAUGCAAGUCGAACGAAGAGCGAUGGAAGCUUGCUUCUAUCAAUCUUAGUGGCGAACGGGUGAGUAACGCGUAAUCAACCUGCCCUUCAGAGGGGGACAACAGUUGGAAACGACUGCUAAUACCGCAUACGAUCUAAUCUCGGCAUCGAGGAUAGAUGAAAGGUGGCCUCUACAUGUAAGCUAUCACUGAAGUAGGGUAUUGCGUCUGAUUAGCUAGUUGGAGGGGUAACGGCCCACCAAGGCGAUGAUCAGUAGCCGGUCUGAGAGGAUGAACGGUCACAUUGGGACUGAGACACGGCCCAGACUCCUACGGGAGGCAGCAGUGGGGAAUCUUCCGCAAUGGACGAAAGUCUGACGGAGCAACGCCGCGUGAGUGAUGACGGCCUUCGGGUUGUAAAGCUCUGUUAAUCGGGACGAAAGGCCUUCUUGCGAAUAGUGAGAAGGAUUGACGGUACCGGAAGAGAAAGCCACGGCUAACUACGUG
Molecule: ribosomal RNA, 510 nt
Filed under: uncultured bacterium
Lineage: Bacteria
Description: partial 16S ribosomal RNA
Rfam family: Bacterial small subunit ribosomal RNA
Source: RNAcentral